This 69-nucleotide transfer RNA is filed under the name Sermylassa halensis. Its description in RNAcentral is "tRNA-Gln". The record is from RNAcentral. Lineage: Eukaryota; Metazoa; Arthropoda; Insecta; Coleoptera; Chrysomelidae.
UAUGUUUUAAUAUAGGAUGUAUACUAGUUUUUGAUACUAGAAGGAAUAGUUUAAAUCUAUUAAGCGUAA